Sipha flava (yellow sugarcane aphid) is the source of this 1071-nucleotide long non-coding RNA. RefSeq lists it as uncharacterized. The transcript is spliced from 6 exons. The record is from RefSeq and is a predicted model, not a curated record. NCBI's taxonomy places the organism in Eukaryota, Metazoa, Arthropoda, Insecta, Hemiptera, Aphididae.
AGUAUACGAUAAGACGAUAAGAUACGUAACUUGUCAUAACUUAAAAGAUGUCACAGCCAACGAAGGUUUACCAGGCCACGUUGUAGUAAUAAAUGUUUUCGUCGUUAUCGGAUGACUAACUACUGAAAUGUUUGAAUCCGUGCUAUUACGCAUUAUCAUUUUCUGCAAUCAGAACUCAAUUGAAUUCGAUCAAAUGUUAUUUUCAUAUUCAAUUGCCCAUUGAUUAACAAUUUAGUAGGAAUUUAUGCGAUCAACUGAUGUGUGAUUGACAAAGUGAUGCCGAAGCAUUUAGUUUUAGUUUCAACUACGGAAGAAUAUCUUUUCAACAAUUGUUAACUUAUGGUUAACUAACUAACUAAACAUGAAUUACUAACCUAACAUGAAUAAACAUACACAUUUGAACAUCUUAUUUACACUGUUCAAAAAUAUAUGAGUACUGUAACACUACAGUGAUAAGAAUAGAAUAGAAGAAUAUACAUAAGUACUAUUCUUUCUUCAACAUUUAUUUACACAAUUUUCUAUUGUUCACCGAACCAUAAAAAAAUUUACAAAAACUAAUUCUAAUUUUGGAACAUUUGAUCUAAAUGAAAAACAUGAAAACUACUUGAUCGUGCACAUUUAACCGUUGCAGUCAGUUCCUUCAAAUGAGCCAGAUUUAAAAAAAUAAUCAUUAAUCAUCACUAAUUUGAUGAAUCUGACUUAGAAAGACUAUUUGAGUAGAUUCAAACAUUUCUAAGAAAAUCAUUGUUGGACAAAAUGACUUGGAAGUUUAUUUGAGCUAAAAGUCAAUAAAAACUUUCUAUACUGCCUAUAUUUAAAAAUAUUAAUAGAUAAUAGGUAUCUAGGUAAUUUGUCCUUACUACAGUCAGUCAAAUUGAGUCAGUCACUGGAACAUGGUUAACUAAAACUAAAGAAAAAUCAAGAUAUUCAAAACCAUAAUAUCAUAAUACAUUUUAUAACUUAGCUUUUUUUCACCAUUGAAGUUGAUUAUUUAAUCUUGCAUAUGUUGUAAAUUGAGCUCUUUUAAUAUCAACAAAACUUAUUUUAUUAUUCUCAGAAUUUUUAAUUAUU